AAUUUUGGACAAUGGGCGAAAGCCUGACCCAGCACUGCCGCGUGCAGGACGAAGGCCCUCGGGUUGUAAACUGCUUUUGUUCGGAACGAAAAGCUUUGGGUUAAUACCCUGGAGUCAUGACGGUACCGUAAGAAUAAGCACCGGCUACUUCCGUGCCAGACGCCGCGGUAAUACGUAGUGUGCAAGCGUUAACCGGAAUUACUGGGCGUAAAGCGUGCGCAGACGGUUUGGUAAGACAGAGGUGAAAUCCCCAGGCUCAACCUGGGAACUGCCUUUGUGGCUGCAAGGCUAGAGUACGGCAGAGGGGGGUGGAAUUCCGCGUGCAGCAGUGAAAUGCGUAGAUAUGCGGAGGAACACCGAUGGCGAAGGCAACCCCCUGGGCCUGUACUGACGCUCAUGCACGAAAGCGUGGGGGGCAAACA
RNAcentral lists this ribosomal RNA (422 nucleotides) under uncultured bacterium. RNAcentral describes it as "partial 16S ribosomal RNA". It matches the Rfam family "Bacterial small subunit ribosomal RNA", at positions 360 to 774 of the family's 1533-position model. The record is from RNAcentral.